GCCCCUGUAGCUCAUCGGUAGAGCGGCUGCCUUGUAAGCAGCAGGUAGUGGGUUCAAUUCCCAUCGGGGGCU
Molecule: transfer RNA, 72 nt
Filed under: Microcaldota archaeon
Lineage: Archaea; Nanobdellati; Microcaldota
Description: tRNA-Thr
Rfam family: tRNA
About the family: Transfer RNA (tRNA) molecules are approximately 80 nucleotides in length. Their secondary structure includes four short double-helical elements and three loops (D, anti-codon, and T loops).
Source: RNAcentral